GGCUACCUGUGAUGAAUUUUCCAACUGUGGGUGCAACCAUAUCAAAUGCCGCAACUGUUUUUCCAUCAUCAUUCAACCGUACAUAGAAUGGCUUGAAUUCUUUGUUGUAUACAAUUACAGGCUUCUUAUAGAUUUCAUCAACCAAAUAACUUAGAUGUUGAGAUGUUAAUUCAGUGCCCCAUUCAGGUUCAGUUUCAAAUUUUCUAUCAGCAACCUUUUUCAAAACAUUUACUGCUUCCAUGUAGGUGAUCCUUUCAUAUGAAGAUGAUAUCAUUGCUUCAAGAAGAUUGGUUUUGUCAACAAAUUUCAUGUCCGUUGAACAAUUCUCCAAAACCCAUUUGCAGAGGAACUUGAAAUAGUCUUCUGCACAGUUCAUGGCAUCCUCUAGUUCUGAAAAAGCCAUUUCAGCCUCAA
This 414-nucleotide unclassified non-coding RNA is filed under the name Hevea brasiliensis (rubber tree). The record is from RNAcentral. Lineage: Eukaryota; Viridiplantae; Streptophyta; Magnoliopsida; Malpighiales; Euphorbiaceae.